UUGUGUACAAAAUACGAACUUGUGGACUAAUUUAGCUAGAUAAAAAUUUGUCUUGUGUGUAAAGCUUCGUUUUUAUGUUUAAUUACCUACGUAAAACAUUUAAGAUGGCUUUUAUGUAUGCAUUAGUUUUAUUUUUAAAUGAUUCAUCCAAUAAAGAAAUUGAUAUAUUGAAUAUCGUGGUACCGGAUGUAAAUAGCCCGAAUCAUUGUUAAAAAGUACUAAGUAUUGUAAAUUAUUACAAAUGAUAGUUAAACAUUGUGAAGGGUCUGCCCGACAUGGCCAACGUUUUAUGUUCAAAUAAGUGGCACAGCAGAAACAAUGGAAGAGGCAGAGGUAAAAUUAAUAAGAUUAAAAAGAACCCCUAUUCUUCUCUACCAAUAAUGAGUAGUCUGCUAAAGCAAAGGAUUGAUUAAAAAUAGAUAAUAUAUUUAGCUAAAUAGCUUUAGAGUUAACUGACGAACCCACUGAAAUUGCAGAACCUAAGAAAUAAAAGCCAAAAAAAUUUAACCAAAAAAUUGUGAAGAAACAAGCCUAAAAACAUAGUCUCGAAUGGUCAUCUACAUCAAUAGCGUCUUCGAUAUCUUCAUCACCACCGUCAUCGUUAUGUAAACCUAUGAAAAUAAAUAAUGAAACUAAAAAAACGAAUUAAUGACAGUACUAACUACAUAGUUGGCUCAAAAAAAAGGAAAAAAUUAGUUCAUAAUCUACACCAUACCACCUUGGUCAUCUUCAUCAUCACCAUCAAAUAAACGUAGAAAAAUAAGAAAAAUCAACUCGAAUUUGAAGGACAUAAAUAUGCGUAUUUAAAUAGCACAUGAAGACAGUACAUUAGCAACAAUUGCUGAUAAUCCCUUUUCAUCAUCAUCAUAAAUCUGAAACAGAAGCUGAAAUGAAUAUAUUAGCAGCUAGAUCAUCAUCAACAAAAAAUACUGUAUCCAGUGAUUCUUUGCUGGAAUGUAUCAAACAUAAUUAUAACAGUCUAUCAAAACAAUUAGCGAAUUUAAAAGGCCAUAUCUGCUGACGUUACCAAAUCCUAUCUGAAAUAAAAAAAUAACAGUACUCAGCUGUUAGAUUUCAGUUUAUUAACAGAUCCUGAAGGAAAUCCAGUGGUCCAAAAAUUAGAAUUUCCGCUAUCAACAAUGGAAGAUAUUAUUUUGAUAAAUUCAAUGAAAAAUUAAAAGGCGAAAAAUAUAAAAAUAAAAUGAAUAAACGUAUAUACUUUUCUCUUGAUGGAAAAAAUACUUUUACCCGUAAUAUGGGAAAUAUUACUCGUGUUUAUAUAACAAGAGAUGUCAUAUGUAGCAGUUAAAGCAACUUCAAAAAAAAGUUUUCAAAGAUACGACUUUUUCACUUCUAUAAAAACUGCAGUAAGACAUUACAGAAUUCGAAAAUAAUCAAGAAAGUAUUUUCGAUAAUAAAUUCCAUCAAGCAUUGUCUGCAGUAUUGAAUAAUGCUAAUAUAAUAA
Molecule: long non-coding RNA, 1465 nt
Organism: Melitaea cinxia (Glanville fritillary)
Lineage: Eukaryota; Metazoa; Arthropoda; Insecta; Lepidoptera; Nymphalidae
Exons: 7
Source: RefSeq, a predicted model, not a curated record